Long non-coding RNA from Hemicordylus capensis (graceful crag lizard), 1753 nucleotides. RefSeq lists it as uncharacterized. NCBI's taxonomy places the organism in Eukaryota, Metazoa, Chordata, Lepidosauria, Squamata, Cordylidae. The record is from RefSeq and is a predicted model, not a curated record. The transcript is spliced from 3 exons.
GGUAUAUAGGGGAGAAGAGUCUCCAGGAGGAGAGAGAGAUCUGAAAAAGAAAGAAAGAAGGGAGAGGAAGAAAAAGAGCGGGGGGGGAGAGAAAGAAAACAGGUAGGAGAAGAAGGGGAGGAAACAGAGAGAGAGAGAGAAGGAAGGGGAAGAGAGAAAGAAAGAAGGGAGAGGAAGAAAGUGGGGGGGGGAGAGAAAAGAAAUAUGGGAGAGGGAGGGGAGAGAGAAUAAGCAAGCCUUCAGACUGUGUGAAAGUUUAAGGGCAGGGAGCAACGUUGAGUCAUGUCAGGUGUUAACUGAAAGGACAGGCUUCAUCGGCCCACAGGUUGUUUGAGUGCAUCUCCUUUCUCCAGUUUUUAGUCAUUGUCAACUUUAUGUAGGUUUCUCAUGAGUAAGAUCAUUUGACUCACUAUUAUAUCAGCAAAUCAAAAGAUAAAAAACUCUGUGUAUAAAGAAAUGUAUGACACUGAGCAAUACAGCAAGGCCCAGGGAGCAAGGAGAGCAAUGAAGUACUAGUGCACAGAUGCUCUGCACAGCUCUUAUCAUACCUCCCAAAUGGAUUUUCUGAUAUGCUGCAGAAUGUGUCUGCUUUUCUGGUGAUGUUAUAAGCCAGCUCAUGUUCAAUUGACUCUGAGCAAGCCAGGGAAUUUCUGAGUUGGUCAUGGAACACAAAACCCCAAACCCAGUCAAGAGCAGCCACCCUGAAGACAGAAUUUGCCCACUGAAGCUCGCUCAAGUUCUCUCAGAUCUGAAGCUCCCUCAAAGACAAAGAAGGCUGGAGGUGCUCAUAGGCACACAGACAGAAGCAGGAGGUCCUGGCAGUCUUUCUCCACCCCUUGUCCCUCAGCUUAUCAUCAGUCCUUUAGAAGCUGAUUAUCACUAGGAAAUUGAUGCUGUAGUUGCUACUGCUGGUCUGGAACUUCCUACCACUCAGUGAAGUGGGGAGCUGUGCAUACAGAAGGCAAUAUGAGCUGGCCCCUUGGCUAGUGGAUUCAGGAAAUAUCACUUGGCUGGCCAGCUAAAGUGGCAAUUUAGAGCUUCACGCAGCUUGACAUAUGAUAACUGGCUUUGUUGCCUGUUUGUGGUCAGCCAUUAGCUCUCCUUUUAGUCUUGUUUUGAACUCUAUUAGUUAUGACUUAGUCUUAAACUUAAUACCUGGUGGACCAAGGGAUGUAUAAUGAAUCCAAAAUCUCUUAACUGUUCUCCAGACGUUAAUCCUUGAAACUGGCUGAUGAGAGAACCAGACCCCUGUGCUGAGCCAGGAUGGCCAUGCUGUCCAGACUUGUGGUAGUUUUCUGUUGAGAUUUCUUUUCACAAAUAGAUUUUAGAGGACAAGAAAGAAGAGCUUAUAAUUGGUUUGCGGUGAAGAUAGAGUCCAAUGUUCUUUGGCGAAACAAAGCCUGGAAUGCAUUUUUCAGAGUGGUUGUAGACUACGUGUUCUGUACUAGUCAUAUUACUAAAUAAACUCUUGAUCAGAAUUCAGGGAGCAGAUUUCAGGAUGUGUUAAUACUGAUAAACUUAAAGCAUCUUUAUAUGGGUAUAUAGGAAGAUCCCUUAGAUUGAGACUGCCGCCAUCUGCGGUGGAUGUGUCUCACCACAGGACUUGGUGCCUGGCUGAGUCAAUACCCGUCUCUUUGUCUGUGGUGCCUUAUGAGGAUGAUCCACUUGAGUGGAGUACCUGAACUCUGCUUAGUGUUCCUCUUUGCUGGUUGCAUUAUGUUAACAAUAAUAAAGUGGCCCUAGGUUCUUCCAA